This 595-nucleotide long non-coding RNA is filed under the name Rattus norvegicus (Norway rat). RNAcentral's name for it is "long non-coding RNA NONRATT008059". Lineage: Eukaryota; Metazoa; Chordata; Mammalia; Rodentia; Muridae. The record is from RNAcentral.
GGGUCCUCUGGAAGAUCAGCCAGCACUCUUAACAGCCGAGCCCUUCUCCAUCCCUAAUACUUAUUUUUAAAUCCAUUAUGUUUAUCUAUUUAGCGUGUGUGUGUGCACACGACCGAGGUCAGAGGCCAACUUCUGGGGGUAAGUUCUCUCCACCACGUGAGUCUUGGGGCUCAAACAGGUUGUUGAGGUUCUCUUCUGGUGUUUUCCCCUCUGAGCUGCCUCACCAGCUCUCACACUUAGUGAGAGAAUACCACAUAAAAAGAGCCAAAAUGACCCAGAGCUCCCAGGGACUAAACCACCAUCCAAAGAGUACGCAUGGAGGGACCCAUGGCUCCAGCCACAUAUGUAGCAGAGGAUGGCCUUGUCGGACAUCUAUGGGAGGCAAGGUCCUUGGUCCUGUGAGGGCUCAAUGCCCCAGUGUAGGGGAAUGCCAGGGUGGGGAGGCAGGAGGGAGGGGGUGGAUGGGUGGGGGAGCACCCUCCUAGAAACAGGGGGAGGGGGAGAGAACAGGGGUUUUCUGGAGGGGAAACGGGGAAAGGCGAUAACAUGUGAAAUGUAAAUAAAUAGGAUAUCCAAUAAAAGAAAAAAUUGCAAA